This 267-nucleotide ribosomal RNA is filed under the name uncultured bacterium. Its description in RNAcentral is "partial 16S ribosomal RNA". It matches the Rfam family "Bacterial small subunit ribosomal RNA", at positions 793 to 1055 of the family's 1533-position model. The record is from RNAcentral.
GUCCACGCGGUAAACGAUGGGCGCUAGGUGUGGGGGUUUUUAAUCCCUCCGUGCCGCAGCUAACGCAUUAAGCGCCCCGCCUGGGGAGUACGGCCGCAAGGUUAAAACUCAAAGGAAUUGACGGGGGCCCGCACAAGCGGUGGAGCAUGUGGUUUAAUUCGACGCAACGCGAAGAACCUUACCUGGGCUUGACAUGUGGGGAAUCUCACGGAAACGUGGGAGUGCGUAGCAAUACGAGCCCCAGCACAGGUGCUGCAUGGCUGUCGU